Molecule: transfer RNA, 89 nt
Filed under: Tilletia horrida
Lineage: Eukaryota; Fungi; Basidiomycota; Exobasidiomycetes; Tilletiales; Tilletiaceae
Description: tRNA-Tyr
Rfam family: tRNA
About the family: Transfer RNA (tRNA) molecules are approximately 80 nucleotides in length. Their secondary structure includes four short double-helical elements and three loops (D, anti-codon, and T loops). Further hydrogen bonds mediate the characteristic L-shaped molecular structure. tRNAs have two regions of fundamental functional importance: the anti-codon, which is responsible for specific mRNA codon recognition, and the 3' end, to which the tRNAs corresponding amino acid is attached (by aminoacyl-tRNA synthetases). tRNAs cope with the degeneracy of the genetic code in two manners: having more than one tRNA (with a specific anti-codon) for a particular amino acid; and 'wobble' base-pairing, i.e. permitting non-standard base-pairing at the 3rd anti-codon position.
Source: RNAcentral
CCCUUGAUAGCUCAGUUGGUAGAGCGGUAGACUGUAACUGGAUAAGCGUGCACAUCUAUAGGUCCGCGGUUCGACUCCGUGUCGAGGGA